RNAcentral lists this ribosomal RNA (253 nucleotides) under uncultured bacterium. Its description in RNAcentral is "partial 16S ribosomal RNA". It matches the Rfam family "Bacterial small subunit ribosomal RNA", at positions 524 to 776 of the family's 1533-position model. The record is from RNAcentral.
UACGUAGGGUGCAAGCGUUGUCCGGAAUUAUUGGGCGUAAAGAGCUCGUAGGCGGUUUGUCGCGUCGAAUGUGAAAACCCGGGGCUCAACCCCGGGCCUGCAUUCGAUACGGGCAGACUAGAGUUCGGUAGGGGAGUCUGGAAUUCCUGGUGUAGCGGUGAAAUGCGCAGAUAUCAGGAGGAACACCAAUGGCGAAAGCAGCUUUCUGGGACGGUACUGACGCUGAGACGCGAAAGCGUGGGGAGCGAACAGG